ACGAGUUAGGGUCUUCUAGGCCCGACCUCCCAACCCUUUGUUUACUUGACCCAACGUUGCUUCGGCGAGCCCGUCUCUCUCCAGGGACCGCCGGAGGGCCGUAAAACGUCCUCUGGUCCGCGCUCGUCGACGGCCAACCACAAAUUCUUUAACAAACGUGUCCUGUCUAAGUAUACAUUUUUAAAUAAAAGCA
RNAcentral lists this unclassified non-coding RNA (193 nucleotides) under uncultured Herpotrichiellaceae. RNAcentral describes it as "sequence contains ITS1". The record is from RNAcentral. Lineage: Eukaryota; Fungi; Ascomycota; Eurotiomycetes; Chaetothyriales; Herpotrichiellaceae.